This 475-nucleotide ribosomal RNA is filed under the name Pseudomonas sp. VLB120. RNAcentral describes it as "bacterial SSU rRNA". It matches the Rfam family "Bacterial small subunit ribosomal RNA", at positions 30 to 498 of the family's 1533-position model. The record is from RNAcentral. Lineage: Bacteria; Pseudomonadati; Pseudomonadota; Gammaproteobacteria; Pseudomonadales; Pseudomonadaceae.
AUUGAACGCUGGCGGCAGGCCUAACACAUGCAAGUCGAGCGGAUGACGGGAGCUUGCUCCUUGAUUCAGCGGCGGACGGGUGAGUAAUGCCUAGGAAUYUGCCUGGUAGUGGGGGACAACGUUUCGAAAGGAACGCUAAUACCGCAUAYGUCCUACGGGAGAAAGCAGGGGACCUUCGGGCCUUGCGCUAUCAGAUGAGCCUAGGUCGGAUUAGCUAGUUGGUGAGGUAAUGGCUCACCAAGGCGACGAUCCGUAACUGGUYUGAGAGGAUGAUCAGUCACACUGGAACUGAGACACGGUCCAGACUCCUACGGGAGGCAGCAGUGGGGAAUAUUGGACAAUGGGCGAAAGCCUGAUCCAGCCAUGCCGCGUGUGUGAAGAAGGUYUUCGGAUUGUAAAGCACUUUAAGUUGGGAGGAAGGGCAGUAAGUUAAUACCUUGCUGUUUUGACGUUACCGACAGAAUAAGCACCGGCU